CUCGUUGAUCGUAGCAAAGCUACAAACUUACGGUCCUUCUUUGGUUUGCCUUUCUGAAUUUCACACUUUGUGGCGUCGCUCGCGCAAGGCACUGCAUGGCGACUGUGAAAGGUAAUAAACCGCUCUGGUCCCGUGAGUAGUUUAGAAAAUAAUUUCUAAGCUUGGAAAAAUUAGAGAAAUGCUAAAAAAAAAAAGCAUGAAAAAAAAUCAAAAUAUUGCAUUCCAAAGAAACUGUUCAGAAAGUCCUAAGACUCCUAACAAGCUAGCAGACAUUCUACUUGUACAAGAGGAGCUUACUAUUUGAUAAAUGCGUCAAUCAGUUUUGGUUAGCUUCCUCAUACCUUGGUCGACACUGAUACUGGGUGAAUAGUACAUUUUCAGGAUUGUCCCAAUUCUUUUGGGCUUCCAAAUUGCACUCGACCAUGCCACAAUAUGGCAUGCAUCUGUGUUCUCCAUCAUACUCCAAGCAACAGUUAGAAGUAACCCACAUACGAGGAUCAGAUUCUACGUUGAACCGUUGAAGUCACAAUAAAAGCAGAGUUUGAAAGGCGUUGACACCAAUACCAAUAUUUGAAUGCUGCGCUCUUUCAAUCCU
This 595-nucleotide long non-coding RNA is filed under the name Elaeis guineensis (African oil palm). RNAcentral's name for it is "long non-coding RNA (EGUI_LNC019256)". The record is from RNAcentral. Lineage: Eukaryota; Viridiplantae; Streptophyta; Magnoliopsida; Arecales; Arecaceae.